GAUGAAGAACGCAGUGAAAUGCGAUACGUAAUGUGAAUUGCAGAAUUCAGUGAAUCAUCGAGUCUUUGAACGCACAUUGCGCCCCCUGGUAGUCCGGGGGGCAUGCCUGUCCGAGCGUCAUUGCUGCCCUCAAGCACGGCUUGUGUGUUGGGCCUCCGUCCUCCUCCCGGGGGACGGGCCCGAAAGGCAGCGGCGGCACCGCGUCCGGUCCUCGAGCGUAUGGGGCUUCGUCACCCGCUCUUGUAGGCCCGGCCGGCGCUUGCCGACACAUCAAUCUUUUUUCCAGGUUGACCUCGGAUCAGGUAGGGAUACCCGCUGAACUUAAGCAUAUCAAUAAGCGGAGGA
This 345-nucleotide unclassified non-coding RNA is filed under the name soil metagenome. Its description in RNAcentral is "partial contains 5.8S ribosomal RNA, internal transcribed spacer 2, and large subunit ribosomal RNA". The stretch from base 1 to 120 matches the Rfam family "5.8S ribosomal RNA", at positions 35 to 154 of the family's 154-position model. The record is from RNAcentral.